GCCAACGUGACAGAAUCGACCUGCCCAGGCCAAACCUGACCAGCUGCCUAUUCUUUCUCUCUCUCUCCACCUACUGACGAGUGGGCCCCAGCCACGUCAGCGUCUUCAAGCUCAGCAACGAACAGGCAACGCACGAGCACGAGCCCGACCGUUUUCAGUUUUUUUGCGUUUCUCUUUUCUUUGAUUCCCGGAGAUUUAAGGCACCAUUUGAUGAGCCGUUUUGUCCUACAAAUAGCCCUGUCAAUCCUCUCCAUUUCCCCUCAAACCUCACAGAACGAGAGCCACCAGGCUGCUCGCAAACCAUCUCGCAAUCUCGCGGAAACUGCUGUCGUUCGUCGACGACUACGGUUCGUCGGCGACCGACGCCACAGUCUGCAGGAGCAUCUGUGACGAGCGAUUCCGGCUGACUCCUUCCGCGCCGUCGUCGUCUACUUCGCCAUCAACCUCGUCUCGUCUUCGUGCGUUGAUAGAUUGUGUUGAUUGCCAAGAGUGUUAUUGUGACGAGUGCAACAACUCCCCUUCUCAUCACCAAGGCAAGUGUCACUCAUGUCCUAAUGUUUUCUAUGCAUGUAGUUUUUACUUAGUAGAUAUU
Non-coding RNA from Lolium perenne, 592 nucleotides. Lineage: Eukaryota; Viridiplantae; Streptophyta; Magnoliopsida; Poales; Poaceae. The record is from RefSeq and is a predicted model, not a curated record.